GAUGAAGAACGCAGCAAAAUGCGAUACUUGGUGUGAAUUGCAGAAUCCCGUGAACCAUCGAGUUUUUGAACGCAAGUUGCGCCCGAAGCCUUUUGGCCGAGGGCACGUCUGCCUGGGCGUCACGCAUCGCGUCGCCCCCCACAAUUCUCCGUAAAGGGAACAUGUGUUUUGGGGGCGGAUAUUGGUCUCCCGUGCUCAUGGCGUGGUUGGCCGAAAUAGGAGUCCUUUCGAUGGACGCACGAACUUGUGGUGGUCGUAAAAACCCUCGUCUUUUGUUUCGUGCUGUUGCUCGCAAGGUAAACUCUUUAAAAACCCCAAUGUGUCGUCUCUUGACGACGCUUCGACCGCGACCCCAGGUCAGGCGGGACUACCCGCUGAGUUUAAGCAUAUCAAUAAGCGGAGGA
This 404-nucleotide unclassified non-coding RNA is filed under the name soil metagenome. Its description in RNAcentral is "partial contains 5.8S ribosomal RNA, internal transcribed spacer 2, and large subunit ribosomal RNA". The stretch from base 1 to 122 matches the Rfam family "5.8S ribosomal RNA", at positions 35 to 154 of the family's 154-position model. The record is from RNAcentral.